Phasianus colchicus (ring-necked pheasant) is the source of this 328-nucleotide non-coding RNA. The record is from RefSeq and is a predicted model, not a curated record. Lineage: Eukaryota; Metazoa; Chordata; Aves; Galliformes; Phasianidae.
GGAGCUAAAAAUAAUGUGAGCCACUUCAGGGUUGCACUGCCCAUCUCUGGAUCUCAGUCUUCUGAAAUUUCAGCUCCUUCAGCAGCCGGAGCACUUGAGGCUGCAAGGGAAGCAGAGCAGAGUGAGCAGCACGGCGGGGACACAGGGUAUCCAGCACUGAGGCCUGGGGAGGAUGUUGCCAGGACAACAGCUCUCCCUUUGCUUCCACGGUGGGAUGGAGCAGAUCUCAAAUGGAGCUUUAGGGCCACGCUGGGGAACAGGGUUUCCCCCCUGCUAGCAUUACCGUUCCCCAACUCGGCCCUAAAAUAUAUAAAAUUUCUAAAAUAUA